UACAGAGGUGGCGAGCGUUAAUCGGACUUACUGGGCGUAAAGCGCACGUAGGUGGUUUGUUAAGCCAGCUGUGAAAUCCCCGGGCUCAACCUGGGCACUGCGGUUGGAACUGGCAAGCUAGAGUAGGGUAGAGGGGUGUGGAAUUCCAGGUGUAGCGGUGAAAUGCGUAGAUAUCUGGAGGAACAUCAGUGGCGAAGGCGACACCCUGGACUCAUACUGACACUGAGGUGCGGAAGCGUGGGGAGCAAACAGG
RNAcentral lists this ribosomal RNA (253 nucleotides) under uncultured bacterium. RNAcentral's name for it is "partial 16S ribosomal RNA". It matches the Rfam family "Bacterial small subunit ribosomal RNA", at positions 524 to 776 of the family's 1533-position model. The record is from RNAcentral.